AACGAACGCUGGCGGCAUGCCUAACACAUGCAAGUCGAACGAUGCCUCCGGGCAUAGUGGCGCACGGGUGCGUAACGCGUGGGAAUCUGCCCUUGGGUUCGGAAUAACUCGCCGAAAGGCGAGCUAAUACCGGAUGAUGACGUAAGUCCAAAGAUUUAUCGCCCAAGGAUGAGCCCGCGUAGGAUUAGCUAGUUGGUGGGGUAAAGGCCCGCCAAGGCGACGAUCCUUAGCUGGUCUGAGAGGAUGAUCAGCCACACUGGGACUGAGGCACGGCCCAGACUCCUACGGGAGGCAGCAGUGGGGAAUAUUGGACAAUGGGCGAAAGCCUGAUCCAGCAAGGCCGCGUGAGUGAUGAAGGCCUUAGGGUUGUAAAGCUCUUUUACCCGGGAUGAUAAUGACAGUACCGGGAGAAUAAACUCCGGCUAACUCCGU
RNAcentral lists this ribosomal RNA (432 nucleotides) under uncultured bacterium. Its description in RNAcentral is "partial 16S ribosomal RNA". It matches the Rfam family "Bacterial small subunit ribosomal RNA", at positions 29 to 506 of the family's 1533-position model. The record is from RNAcentral.